GACGAACGCUGGCGGCGUGCCUAAUACAUGCAAGUAGAACGCUGAAGGAGGAGCUUGCUUCUCCGGAUGAGUUGCGAACGGGUGAGUAACGCGUAGGUAACCUGCCUGGUAGCGGGGGAUAACUAUUGGAAACGAUAGCUAAUACCGCAUAAGAGUGGAUGUUGCAUGACAUUUGCUUAAAAGGUGCACUUGCAUCACUACCAGAUGGACCUGCGUUGUAUUAGCUAGUUGGUGGGGUAAGGGCUCACCAAGGCGACGAUACAUAGCCGACCUGAGAGGGUGAUCGGCCACACUGGGACUGAGACACGGCCCAGACUCCUACGGGAGGCAGCAGUAGGGAAUCUUCGGCAAUGGACGGAAGUCUGACCGAGCAACGCCGCGUGAGUGAAGAAGGUUUUCGGAUCGCAAAGCUCUGUUGUAAGAGAAGAACGAGUGUGAGAGUGGAAAGUUCACACUGUGACGGUAUCUUACCAGAAAGGGACGGCUAACUACGUGCCAGCAGCCGCGGUAAUACGUAGGUCCCGAGCGUUGUCCGGAUUUAUUGGGCGUAAAGCGAGCGCAGGCGGUUAGAUAAGUCUGAAGUUAAAGGCUGUGGCUUAACCAUAGUACGCUUUGGAAACUGUUUAACUUGAGUGCAAGAGGGGAGAGUGGAAUUCCAUGUGUAGCGGUGAAAUGCGUAGAUAUAUGGAGGAACACCGGUGGCGAAAGCGGCUCUCUGGCUUGUAACUGACGCUGAGGCUCGAAAGCGUGGGGAGCAAACAGG
RNAcentral lists this ribosomal RNA (763 nucleotides) under uncultured Streptococcus sp. RNAcentral describes it as "bacterial SSU rRNA". It matches the Rfam family "Bacterial small subunit ribosomal RNA", at positions 28 to 776 of the family's 1533-position model. The record is from RNAcentral. Lineage: Bacteria; Bacillati; Bacillota; Bacilli; Lactobacillales; Streptococcaceae.